Long non-coding RNA from Rattus norvegicus (Norway rat), 4139 nucleotides. RefSeq lists it as uncharacterized. Lineage: Eukaryota; Metazoa; Chordata; Mammalia; Rodentia; Muridae. The record is from RefSeq and is a predicted model, not a curated record.
AUCUGCUCUCUUCUCCCCCCCUUGCUUUUCCCCCCUUGGAUUUUUGGGGGCUGGUGCAGUUUAAAGCAGAGAUUUUAAGGUGGAUUCUGCGAAAGUUGCGCGUCUGCUUUCAGACUUGAUGCAGACGCCACGAGUCGAAUGGUUUGUCUCCAAAGGGCAGCGCCUCCCUAUUGGUCAGUCGCCCCCUGACGUCACAGGCGCACCGCUUCUACUGGCGUGUGCGCUGCUUGCGGAGUUCUUCGCCUACCUUAAGCAACUACAAGCUCAGCCCAGAGCUGCAACCUGGGGCCGCCCGGAGUUAAAGGGGAGCAGCGGUGGAGGGAGGCGCCCGGUAGGCUGCAGACGCAUCCCAUGGAAGCUCCAACCCUGUAUCCUAGAGCCCUUGUUUCCAGGAUUGGAGACUUUGGAAUAGCCUGGCUGGAGGCUGAUCUCUUACAAUUCAUUUGCACCCUUUCAGGUUGCUUGUGUUCAGAAGCAGUGGCCCUAGCAUUUAAAGUCAGACCCCCUCACUUGACCUUCCCCCUCCCUCAGGAUCCCAACUCUACUCUCCUCCCAAGGGAACACCUUGGCACUGUGGGUUUUUCCAGAAGUACUUUCUUGAAGCCAUAGAGGGAAGAAAAAACCCUACAUCUGGGCUUCAUCUCAUGGCAGGGGUCGGGGGUAGUAGAGAAAGAAAAAUCAGACCCUGCUCUGGCGAGAUUCCUGCUGUUUUAGGCCCUAUUUCCUAUAUGUUGACCCCCCAAUAAAGGAGGAACACCUCCCACCCCCAGAACGCAGCAGCCUGCUCUGAAAGCGAAUCCUUGGAGGGCUGACAGUAAUGCAUUUUUUUUUCCUAUUGAAAACAGAAGCUACUGUAAUGCUUUCAAAUAUAUGCAAAUGAUACAUGCGGUUAGUGGUUUGGCAAAUCUUGAUUACAAUAUAAACUACCCAAGUAAAAGUGCCUUCGUCCUAAAUUUGUCUCUCGAUUACAAUUCCAAUUGAUUUUAUUUUAUUGUCAACAUUGUUAAUGAUAAAAAUAGAGUCGUUUUACAGUUAUUUUUACUUUCUGGAAGGAGGCAAUUAGAGUUCUAAUCAGGAAUACACAAAAAAAUCUCCCAUGAUUAACUGCAGCACUUUGUUCAAAUUGCUGCUAUAAAAUUCAGAACAAUUUGCCUGUAAUGAUCAUGGACUGGGUUUAUUUUGGGAGGUGGAAUAAAAGUGGAUAUAGCAUAAAUUAUCCUCUAAUUAUACACCAGUGUCGCCUCAAUUAUCCUCUUAUCAAAAUGGUUGUCUAACUGCCGCAUUUAGUUUCAAUUCUCUCCUUUUUUUCUAUAAAAAGAACUUCAUACCUUGUUAUUAUUAAUCCAUUUAUUAUUUGCAAGGGGGUUUAUAUCCGCACAUCCAGGUGGUAGCACCACUUCUGUUUCAAAGAUGGACUGGGGAAAGACAUUAAGUUUGGAGCAGCUCAGUACAACGGAUCUAGCCUUUCUCCCUCGGGUCUCCAGACUCACUUAGGUCCAAGCUGCGGAGCAGGGACAACGGAGCCCAGGCGGCCACCUUCAGGCCCAGCCACCAGCUGCUGAGAACCAGAGGGAAACCUCCUCCCAGAAGAACAUUUCCAUACACUGCUUCCCCACUGCUGUGGAGUCCCCUGAACACUGGUCCCUGGACACCAACUUCAAGAAGACUUCGUGAUGGCUGUCCAGUCUUAUGAACCACAGUUUUCCCUGUGUGUUUUCUCCAGUGAUGCUCUCAUCUGGGUCAGAUUAGAGAUGAACCAGCUGGAGAACAGAUUGGAGCGCUGACCUCUUAGAGUGCUAACAGUCAACAGUUUGCUGUCAGACCCAUAGAGAAAUAAUAAAAAUACGUUCCAUGCAAGGGAGUGGGAUGUUUAUAAUUCCUUAAAGGCUGAAAUCAAGGAACAAUCAAAAUAUAGAGGAAUGCGGACUUGUUUUACUGCAGGAUUUUUGUUUUGUCCCUACUGGGAUACAUAUUCUGGUGUUACUACUGCAUCAGGACUCAGGCAAGGCUAUGUAUUCUAGUGGUGCUCCUACUUAGCUCUUGUGCUUUAGUAAGAGACACUAACUCAUUAGACUUGGUAUUACUGAUCUGCACUGUAGGUCUGCACUCACGACCUGGGAGAUAUUGGCAAUGAUUCUCUUAUAUGAUAAAGGUCAAUGAUAAAAGUACUUCAACUCCCCUCGAACUUUUUGUUUGUACACCAAGUGAUGACACUGUGUAUUGAACUAAUUAGAUCAGUGGAGUUACAGGGUGAUACUGACCUCUAAAAAUAUUUGGCUGAAACCUGGCAUUGCUAGUUAUCUGUAGAAGAGGACGAUAUGGAACAUGCAAACAUCACAAAACAUGGGAUUACUGGUCAGACUUGGAAACCCAGCAACCAGGCAAGUUCAGCAUAGAACCUGCAGAAACUAGCAGCAGGUAGACAUGGUUCCUUUUCCAUGGAUCUUACAACCAAAUGUCCCUGUAGAAAGCAGAGGCUAUCAUGUGUAUGUGGCCACACAGAUGUUCUUGAGCACAGCCUCUAGUCAGUGGGAGAGUUCCUACUGCUGUAGGCCAUGGCUGUCUUCUCUAAGCCUGAAUUUUACAAACACUUUGUGAACCUGGACUGCUUUUCUUUAGCAAGCCUUGAAAAGUUCCAGGAUGUCAGGGAAGUGUCUUGGGGUUGGCAGGGCUUCUAGGGAGGGAAAUAUUAAAUGAUUUGGACCAGAAAAGAAAAAGGGGAUGGGGUUCAGAACCAACAAUUACCUCUAUUCUAUGUAGGAAACAAUAAUAUGAAAUACGCUGGGCACGGAAACUUUGAUACUAAAACUUGGUUUUUGUCCCUUUUAAAAAGUAAUACUUAAAAAGCUAUGUGGUUGUAGGCAAGCCAUUUCCCAUCCCCUGUGGAUGUCUCCUGAAUGACUCUAAACCUGUUCUAGUUCUCAAAGGCCUUUAACAUAAGUCCCCAGGCUACAGUGGCCACUUUAAAAAUACCCUCCCUAUGGUUGUUAGGUCUUAACGUUUCCAGCAGUUACAUAAACAUUUUUAUUUUUGAGGGAGGGUCUAUUCUUAUCAACUUUUAAAAAACACACAUCCGGUUCUUUUCUGGAAUUAAGAAGAUGCAAACUCCAAGUCCCCUGCCUUCCAUACUGCCUGCCUUUCUUCCUGUUCGUCCCUUAUUCCCAUCCCUGUUGAGUUUGUGCUAUGCACUGCAUCAGGUAUACCCUAGGUUUGGAGAUACAGGAUAAACCUGACUCAGAGGGGUCUUCCCUUUCUCUUCUGGUGCUUUCUUUGGAGGGAGUCUGUUGUAUCUAGGCAGACUGUGCUGUGGCGCCCCUGAGGUAACCACCCAGGCGCUUCAUUCUGCCUAAGCAAUUUCAUUGUGCACUAAGAUACACAUCCCAGUAACUGUCCAGAUUACCACAAGAACUUUCUCCAAAUAUAAGGAAGAGGGAGAUUUUACUUCUGAGAUGUGUGUAUGACAACCCUCCAUCCUGGGAAGAACACUGAAUACUGCCUGCACCUCAUCCUAGCCUAAGGAGUGAGAGUGUUUUCCUGUAUCAUCCCGGUGGAUUGCUACUUCUUUAAGAAGGAAUGGGAAAAACACCAAACAGACAAACAUGUUAUCACAAAUUCAGUCUGACCUCAUUGGAAAUCCUUUUAAAAAUUAAUCAUUUCUAUCUCUUCAUUAUCAACAAAUCUACUGAAUACUUCUCUCUUGAGUCCAGGGCAUAUUUUAUAAUACAUAAAACAAUGAAAUUUCAAAUUCAGAGCACUGACAUAUACUAUUCGUUUUGAGUAUUUUUAUUAUAGGGAAUGACUUUAGACAUUCCAAUUUAUGACUUAAGUGGUAAAAUGGAUAGCUCUUGACUUUCAACUUUCCUUUUCAGUUCAGGUCAAGGAAUAGCUACCUCCAGGUAAUGUCUACACUUUCCUAUGACUAAGGACUCUAACUAUUUCUGUUGCCUUUCUUUAUGCAGGCAUAUGUUAGCAUUUCUUUUCUAUGUGACAAAUGUACUAAAGAGAGUAUAAAAUUCAUGAGAUAAGCUUUUUGGAUAGGAAUUUAGAAAAACAAGGAGUCCAGAUAAAUGAGUGAAAAAUCAACUUAAAUAAUCAACAUAUCCAAGAUAUGUAUUGGAAUAAAUGUCUAUUGUACCAUU